UAUUCGAUAAUACGAAACUAAAAAUCAUCACGGUUCCAAUUUUAAAGAACCAAACAUAUUACCAAUGUUCGGCUCAAAAUAUAAAACCGGCAUUGCUUGCAUGCUUUGUCGAAAGUUUUGUCUACCAGUUUUGUUCAAUACUCUCGCAACUGAAGAAGAAGCACGUCAAAGGAAGCAGUACCAGACAUUACUUGACGCAACUCGGAAAUUUUACUCACACAUUGACGACA
Long non-coding RNA from Tribolium castaneum (red flour beetle), 230 nucleotides. RefSeq lists it as uncharacterized. The record is from RefSeq and is a predicted model, not a curated record. The transcript has 3 exons. Lineage: Eukaryota; Metazoa; Arthropoda; Insecta; Coleoptera; Tenebrionidae.